This 22-nucleotide small nuclear RNA is filed under the name Arabidopsis thaliana (thale cress). RNAcentral's name for it is "snRNA_18642". Lineage: Eukaryota; Viridiplantae; Streptophyta; Magnoliopsida; Brassicales; Brassicaceae. The record is from RNAcentral.
UUACUAUAUCAAAAUUGUUAUC